CGAGUGGCGGACGGGUGAGUAAUGUCUGGGAAACUGCCUGAUGAGGGGGAUAACUACUGGAAACGGUAGCUAAUACCGCAUAACGUCGCAAGACCAAANAGGGGGACCUUCGGGCCUCUUGCCAUCGGAUGUGCCCAGAUGGGAUUAGCUUGUUGGUGGGGUAACGGCUCACCAAGGCGACGAUCCCUAGCUGGUCUGAGAGGAUGACCAGCCACACUGGAACUGAGACACGGUCCAGACUCCUACGGGAGGCAGCAUG
Molecule: ribosomal RNA, 259 nt
Filed under: uncultured bacterium
Lineage: Bacteria
Description: partial 16S ribosomal RNA
Rfam family: Bacterial small subunit ribosomal RNA
Source: RNAcentral